AGGGUUUGUACUAUCGAUAGUAUAGUAGCCGGAUUAUAUAUAUAUAUAUAUAUAUAUAUAUAUAUAUAUAUUCCUCUAAAUAGAGAGAGAGAGAUUUGGAGAGGGGUGGAAGUCGACAACACCGAUGCCAUCGCCGGCCUUAUCAACAACGUGUAUGAUGUAAUGGAGGGGGGUCAAAGGGCAUCAUCGAUUAUGCUUAUGGCAUUCGGAAAGCAAAUAGUACACGUUUUAAACUUUGGGAAAGAAGAAGGUGAAUUGGAAGGAUGCCUUAUGAAAAGGCAUGGCAUUCUCGUUUUCCCCACUAUUACUCUAUUAAAUAAAAAAGUGAGGAGAUUAUUCUAUUAAAUGGAAAGAUAAAUGCCAUUACUCUAUUUAAAUGGAAAGGUGAGGAGAUUAUUAGAUUAAAUGAAAAUGAAAAUGGAAGAUGAAAAGAUUAGUCUAUUAAAUGAGAAAGUAAAUGGGAAGAUGAAGAGACGACAUUGGGAGAUAAAUCGGAUAUAUGAGAGGAAGUAUCUAGUAGAAGUGGACCUAAUAUUCAAUAGAAAGGAUGGAGGAAGUGAUAAUAACGCUGGUAGUUAGGUAGGCCCAAAUUCAACAGAAUUCUGCCACGUCGGAUAGAAGCCACGGGAAUUAAUAGUUUUGUAUAGUUAAUGCUCAUAAAUUCUGUUAAAAAGUAUUGAUCAUUAAUUAUCUCAAAACCAAUCAUAAUUUACCUAUUCACUUG
This 724-nucleotide long non-coding RNA is filed under the name Ananas comosus (pineapple). RNAcentral's name for it is "long non-coding RNA (ACOM_LNC031041)". Lineage: Eukaryota; Viridiplantae; Streptophyta; Magnoliopsida; Poales; Bromeliaceae. The record is from RNAcentral.